RNAcentral lists this ribosomal RNA (466 nucleotides) under uncultured bacterium. Its description in RNAcentral is "partial 16S ribosomal RNA". It matches the Rfam family "Bacterial small subunit ribosomal RNA", at positions 29 to 506 of the family's 1533-position model. The record is from RNAcentral.
ACGAACGCUGGCGGCGUGCUUAACACAUGCAAGUCGAACGGAAAGGCCCUGCUUUUGUGGGGUGCUCGAGUGGCGAACGGGUGAGUAACACGUGAGUAACCUGCCCUUGACUUUGGGAUAACUUCAGGAAACUGGGGCUAAUACCGGAUAGGAGCUCCUGCUGCAUGGUGGGGGUUGGAAAGUUUCGGCGGUUGGGGAUGGACUCGCGGCUUAUCAGCUUGUUGGUGGGGUAGUGGCUUACCAAGGCUUUGACGGGUAGCCGGCCUGAGAGGGUGACCGGCCACAUUGGGACUGAGAUACGGCCCAGACUCCUACGGGAGGCAGCAGUGGGGAAUAUUGCACAAUGGGCGGAAGCCUGAUGCAGCAACGCCGCGUGCGGGAUGACGGCCUUCGGGUUGUAAACCGCUUUCGCCUGUGACGAAGCGUGAGUGGCGGUAAUGGGUAAAGAAGCACCGGCUAACUACGU